CAAGCGAAAGCGUUAAGUAUUCCACCUGGGGAGUACGCCGGCAACGGUGAAACUCAAAGGAAUUGACGGGGGCCCGCACAAGCGGAGGAACAUGUGGUUUAAUUCGAUGAUACGCGAGGAACCUUACCCGGGCUUGAACUCAGGGGGACGACGGCAGAGACGCCGUUUUCUUCGGACCCCCUGGGAGGUGCUGCAUGGUUGUCGUCAGCUCGUGCCGUGAGGUGUCGGCUUAAGUGCCAUAACGAGCGCAACCCUCAUUCUCGUUUGCCAUCGGGUAAUGCCGGGCACUCCGGGAAUACUGCCAUCGUAAGAUGUGAGGAAGGUGGGGAUGACGUCAAAUCAGCACGGCCCUUACGUCCGGGGCUACACACGUGUUACAAUGGGCGGUACAGAGGGCCGCGACUACGCGAGUGGGAGCCAAUCCUCAAAGCCGUUCUCAGUUCGGACUGGAGUCUGCAACCCGACUCCACGAAGCUGGAUUCGCUAGUAAUCGCGCAUCAGCCAUGGCGCGGUGAAUACGUUCCCGGGCCUUGCACUCACCGCCCGUC
This 548-nucleotide ribosomal RNA is filed under the name uncultured bacterium. Its description in RNAcentral is "bacterial SSU rRNA". It matches the Rfam family "Bacterial small subunit ribosomal RNA", at positions 848 to 1398 of the family's 1533-position model. The record is from RNAcentral.